This is a long non-coding RNA of Homo sapiens (human), 2893 nucleotides long. Ensembl annotates it as OBSCN antisense RNA 1. Its record names the gene OBSCN-AS1. NCBI's taxonomy places the organism in Eukaryota, Metazoa, Chordata, Mammalia, Primates, Hominidae. The record is from Ensembl.
GCAGAUGUACACCGCGUCGUCGUCGGCCGAGACAUUGCGCACGGUCAGGCGGCGCUCGGUGCCCUCCUCCUCGAUGCCGUACUUGGCGCUCGCCCACAACCGCGUCUCCUCCUUGAACCACGCGGCCUCAGUGGACGGCUGGGGCACCUCACAUAGGAACGUGGCCGACUCCUUCUCCCGCACCUCCAGAUCUUGCAGCCGCUUUUUGAAGGGAACCGCGGGCUCUGCCAGGAGAGAAGACUGGAACGGACACCUGCAACCCUGGAUUCCACGACCGGACAGACGCGGGUGGGAAACGGCAGACCGCAAGGGCGAAAGGACCCAGGUGCACGGGUUGCGGAGGAGCCUGGGCCCGCGCGCCCCGCACCCAGGAGCUCACCGCGCACUACGACCAGCACAGAGCUGUAGGUCUGGCCCACGAGGUUGGACGCCGUGCAGGUGUAGAGGCCGCGGUCCGACUGCUUGCAGAAGAGGAUCUUGAGCACGAAGUUCUCCUGCGCGUCCUCGUACACCACGUGGCGCCGGCCCUCGGUCACCAGCUGGCCGUCCUUCUUCCACACCGUCUCGGGCUUGGGCUCGCCGGUCACGUAGCAGCUGAGGCGCGCGUGCUUGCCUUCAGUCACCGUGCAGGUGCCUGCUGUCCCAGCUACUCAAGAGACUGAAGCAGGAGGAUGGCUUGAGCCCAGGAGGUCAAAGCUGCAGUGAGCUGCUUCGCCCCAUCCCUGAUCCAGUGCCAGGCCUCUAUGUGUCCUCACAGCGUACCUCAGGCUCUUCCGGGCAAUGGCCAACAUCUCUCAUGUGUCCUCAAUCAGAAGGAGGGUGAGGGGUCUCUGGAGUAACGGUUAUGCCAUUCUGCAGCCUUAUCUCAUGACUGAUCACUUCCAAAAGCUCACGUUCUAAUCCUGUCACCUUGGGGGUGAGCAUUUCAACGUGUGAAUCUCCGGGACACACAUUCAGUCCACAGCACCAGGGAGAAAGGAAAGGCUGGAAGGAGAGCCCACUCCCCCACCAGGAGCUUGGCCCUGAGCUGCCCCAGCCAUGCAGAAGUGUGUGUGCAUUGUGUGUGCUCGAAUACGUGCCCCACCCCCUCCCGGACAGGGCCGUGGAGGGUGCAGAGAAGAUGGCUGUGCGGGCCAGCCCCUUGCAGGGCCUCCUGGACCUGGGAGAAGCAAUGCCCCCACAGCCUCCAGGAGUGGCCUGCCCUCCUGACCCUCUUCACUGCUGCCUGCUCCGCUGCAUCUCCAAACACCACUGCCAGCCUUCAGGCUGGAUUUUCUGCCUCCUUCACAGGACCCCUGUUGUUCCUUAUUUCCCUGCAACGUAUUUGUUGAAGACAGUGGGAUAUUCACACUACAGAGCUUCCGGAGGCACUGUGCCCAGGGUGUCCUUCACACCACGGGAGGCCACAGGAUGCAGUGGCUGGCCAUGGACCUUGCCUAUUCCUGGCUGGAAUCCACUGCAAAGAGAACUUUCAUGGAGCUGCUGUCUGUUCAAAGGGGUACAGGUGGAGGAGGAGCAGACACAAUUUCCUGAGGAAAGCAAAUGUCACUGUGUCCCUUGAGUUGCCAGCUUCCACAGGGAUGUCCCGCCAUGAGCCCUCCUCCCAGGGGCUUUCACAGCUGGGUGGGCUGGCAUCCUGGGUGCAGUUUAACUGAAGGGGGUGUUCUCACAGCCAUCUCCCAAGGCCUGGGGGAUGGUGGGCCCGGAGGCCUCAGACCUGCACCUGCUGCCCAGGCGAUGGGGUGGCUGGGCCCCGGGUGCCCACAAACUAUAGGCAAAAAAAACUGUAAGUCAGUCCUGCAGGGUUUCCUGAACAUUUUAUGAUCCCCAAGUCGUAUCUGAACAUGUCAAGAAUCUCUGGUGCCUUGGCUUGGGUGUAAAGAUGAAGUUCUUUCCUCCUCUGUAUUCCAGGAGGAAAGAGGGUUUUCAUUCCCUUCUGAAUGUUAGGAGGGAAGGCAUUUUCCAUCCUUGACCAGCUUGUAGAUGACACACAUUCAGCAAACGCACAUCCCAGCAGCACCGAGAGAACACACAGGUGUGUCACGCUUUUGCGUUCAUAAGGCCUUUUCAUGUCAGUAUCUUAUUAGAUAUUCCCAAACAAGGGUGUUUUCUCAUCUUAUAGAAGAGAGGCCUGAGGCUCACAGGGUGAAAACAAUUUGCUUAAGCCUGCACAGCAGCUGUGCUGGCAACGUUUCUCCCGGUAUAAAUGAGAAGCAGCCUUUGUGGCCACAGAGAUGUGACUGCUAAGUGCAUCGUCCCACCCUGAAGGAGAUUCUUCCUCAACAAGAGGACAUUAGUGCAAAGACUGAUGAAGUCUGUAGUUUCGUGGGUUUUUUUUUUAAGCAUAAGGGGUUAAAUAUUAUGUAAUUAAGUAAUAAGGCAGUUGUGAGGAUGCAACUGCCAAAAGUUUGAAAAAAGCUGCCCAGAUGGAAAUCUGCUUGCAUUUGUGCAAGCAGAUAGGUGAGGGAUUUUUACUGUACUGCCGUGUCCCCUACCUGCCCCAGCUUUAUUGAGUUAUAAUUGACAAGCAAAAAUUGUUUAUAUUUAAAGUGUACAAUGUGAUGUGGCCUUUUUGUUUUGUUUUGAGACAUAAUCUUAUCACCCAGGCUGGAGUGAAGUGGCGCAGUUUAAACUGCGCAGGCUCAUCAUCCUCCUUCCUCAGCCUCCUCAGUAGCUAGAACCACAGGUGUGAGCCACCAUGCCUGGCUCAUUUUUUGAUUUUCUUUUUUUAAGAGACAGGGGUCUCCCUGUUUCCCAGGCUGGUCUUGAACUCCCGGGCUCAAGUAAUCAUCCCGCCUCAGCCUCCCAAAGUGAUGGUGUUACAGGCAUGAGCUACUGUGCCUGGCCAGAAAUGGUAAAUUAUAAUUAAAGGCUUCUGUAAGUCAUGCUGUCA